Molecule: ribosomal RNA, 253 nt
Filed under: uncultured bacterium
Lineage: Bacteria
Description: partial 16S ribosomal RNA
Rfam family: Bacterial small subunit ribosomal RNA
Source: RNAcentral
UACGAAGGGGGCUAGCGUUGCUCGGAAUGACUGGGCGUAAAGGGCGCGUAGGCGGCUGGUACAGUCAGAUGUGAAAUUCCCGGGCUUAACCUGGGGGCUGCAUUUGAUACGUAUUGUCUUGAGUUCGGAAGAGGGUCGUGGAAUUUCCAGUGUAGAGGUGAAAUUCGUAGAUAUUGGAAAGAACACCGAUGGCGAAGGCAGCUCGCUGGGACGGUACUGACGCUGAGGCGCGAAAGCGUGGGGAGCAAACAGG